This 1975-nucleotide ribosomal RNA is filed under the name human gut metagenome. RNAcentral's name for it is "bacterial LSU rRNA". It matches the Rfam family "Bacterial large subunit ribosomal RNA", at positions 1 to 1996 of the family's 2925-position model. The record is from RNAcentral.
UUAAGUGAAUAAGGGCGUACGGUGGAUGCCUAGGCACUUGGAACUGAAGAAGGACGCAACAAACGGCGAAACGCGACGGGGAGUGGUACGUACACAAAGAUCCGUCGAUAUCCGAAUGGGGAAACCCGGCAGCAGUAAUGAGCUGUCACCCAUGAGUGAAUACAUAGCUCAUGAGGGAGGUACCCGGAGAACUGAAACAUCUAAGUAUCCGGAGGAAAAGAAAAUAAGAAUGAUUCCGUAAGUAGCGGCGAGCGAACGCGGAGGAGCCCAAACCAGAUCUUGAUCUGGGGUUGUAGGACCACGAAAUGGCAAGAGCAUGGCUAAGAGAACGGCAUUGAAAGGCCGACCGGAGAGGGUGCAAGUCCCGUAACUGAAAGCAAUGUGAAGCCUAGUGGUAUCCUGAGUACGGCGAGACACGAGAAAUCUUGUCGGAAGCAGGCGGGACCAUCCGUCAAGGCUAAAUAUACCCAAGUGACCGAUAGUGAACCAGUACCGUGAGGGAAAGGUGAAAAGAACCGCGGGAGCGGAGUGAAAUAGAACCUGAAACCGUAUGCUUACAAGAAGUCAGAGCCCGUUAAAGGGUGAUGGCGUGCCUUUUGUAGAAUGAACCGGCGAGUUACGUUAUCGUGCGAGGUUAAGUAGAAGAUACGGAGCCGAAGCGAAAGCGAGUCUUAAUAGGGCGACAGUACGAUGAUGUAGACCCGAAACCGUGUGAUCUAGCCAUGACCAGGUUGAAGUUCAGGUGAAACUGAAUGGAGGACCGAACCGACCCCCGUUGAAAAGUUGGCGGAUGAGUUGUGGCUAGGGGAGAAAUUCCAAUCGAACACGGAUAUAGCUGGUUCUCCCCGAAAUAGCUUUAGGGCUAGCGUCGAGGUAGAGUCGCAUGGAGGUAGAGCACUGAAUGUACGAUGGCCCCAUCCCGGGGUACUGAGUAUAAUCAAACUCCGAAUGCCAUGAAGACGUACUCGGCAGUCAGACUGUGGGUGAUAAGGUCCAUGGUCAAAAGGGAAACAGCCCAGACCGCCAGUUAAGGUCCCAAAAUGUAUGCUAAGUGGAAAAGGAUGUGGGGAUGCACAGACAACUAGGAGGUUGGCUCAGAAGCAGCCAUCCUUCAAAGAGUGCGUAACAGCUCACUAGUCGAGUGACCCUGCGCCGAAAAUGUACCGGGGCUAAGCAUACUACCGAAGCUGCGGAUUCAACUUCAGAGUUGAGUGGUAGGGGAGCGUUGCAUGCACGUAGAAGCCGUACCGUAAGGAGCGGUGGAGAGCAUGGAAGAGAGAAUGCCGGUGUGAGUAGCGAGAUGUAGGUGAGAAUCCUACACACCGAUAGCCCAAGGAUUCCAGGGGAAGGUUCGUCCGCCCUGGGUAAGUCGGGACCUAACGCGAGGCCGAAAGGCGUAGUGGAUGGAAAACAGGCAGAUAUUCCUGUACCCGCGAUGGAAAUGAAGGAAUGACGGAGAAGGCUAGUGUGAGCCACUGAACGGAUUGUGGUCAAAGCAUAUAGCAGGCUGACAGUGAAAUGCGUCAGCGGGAUGUAAGAUGUGACAGGUAAGGGAACGUCCUUGGACAAGUACUGAAGCACAUGAUGCCAGCUUCCAAGAAAAGUUUCUAGUGAUAAUUCCAUAGCGGCCCGUACCAAAACCGACACAGGUGGGCAAGGAGAGAAUCCUGAGGUGAGCGAGAGAACUGUUGCCAAGGAACUCGGCAAAAUGACUCCGUAAGUUAGCGAUAAGGAGUGCUCUUGUAAAAGAGAGCCGCAGUGAAGAGGCCCAAGCGACUGUUUAACUAAAACACAGCUCUCUGCAAAGUCGCAAGACGAAGUAUAGGGGGUGACGCCUGCCCGGUGCUGGAAGGUUAAGAGGAUUUGUCAUCCGCAAGGAGAAGCAAUGAAUUGAAGCCCCAGUGAACGGCGGCCGUAACUAUAACGGUCCUAAGGUAGCGAAAUUCCUUGUCAGGUAAGUUCUGACCCGCACGAA